AGGUGUUCAGCUUGUUUGUGUUGGGAGCUGUGGCCUGCACAUGCUACACAACGCAUUCAAGUGUGGGUUCACUGCGUGGCAGCUGGACAAGUUACUGAGAGCAAUGCACACAUUGUUUCACAAUGUGCCCGCUAGGAAAAGGAUUACAUCACAGUAACAAAGUCAAGUGUGUUCCCCUUGUCCUUCUGUGCCCAUCGUUGGGUGGAAAACCUACCUGUUGUGGAGAGAGCCCUUGCAGUCUGGCCAUCACUGCUCCUGUACAUGGAGGCUGUGAAAACAAAGAAGCUCCCGAACCCUGGAACAGGUAGGCCCUUCUGAAAUGCUGUGAAUAGGUCUGUGACUUUUUCCUAACCCUGGUGGUGUGGUGUGGUGGCUUUGUCAUGGUUUUUGUAAUGUACAGCUAAGUUGAAAUGUCCUGCCUCUCUCUGUCUCUCUCUCUCUCUCUCUCUCUCAGCAUCCUAUGACACCGUUGCAGCAGCCAUGAAGGAUCCAUUCAUCUUGGCCAAACUGCAGUUCUACACGGCACUGGCCAGGACCUUCACUCGCUUCCUGAAAAAAUAUCAAACAGAUGAGCCUGUGCUGCCAUUCCUCUCCAAGGACCUGACCGAGUUGAUGAUGAGUCUACUCAGACGCUUCAUCAAAAGAGAAGUCCUCCACAACAUCACUGCCCUGCAACUGAUCAAGCUGGAUGUCACAGACAAGACCAUCUGGCUCAGCCCACAAGACAUCAGCAUUGGUCUAGGUGCUGAGUCAGUCCUUAAGGUAGUGUGAUGUUUUAAAAAGAUAACUGUACAAAUAUGGUUAGGCUGCAACCAGGUCAUAGUAGACAUCUUCUAUAUUCACGGCUGAUUUCCCUCUCUCUCUAGAGCAUCAAAGGUGCAGAGCUCAGGGUGCUAGAGUUCAGGAGAGAGUGCAUUCAGGGACUGUGUAGCAUCAUCAGGAAAGUGCAGGAUAAGAGCCCCCUCAAUUAUUUCAAAAUUGUAGGCUGCACAUUAAUUUAUCAUCAAUCUAAAUACCUAGCAAUGCCC
Molecule: long non-coding RNA, 1028 nt
Filed under: Sparus aurata (gilthead seabream)
Lineage: Eukaryota; Metazoa; Chordata; Actinopteri; Spariformes; Sparidae
Description: lncRNA (ENSSAUG00010027238.1)
Source: RNAcentral